UCGCCACAUGCGCCUGCGCUGGUUUUCCUGGUGAUGACGUCAGCCGUUGUUGCGCAACCUGACCUGGAUCCCCCGUACUGCGCGCUGCGCUACCGGCGGCUCUGCCAGGGCAAAGGCCGGCAUAUCGCUUGCCAGUUCCCUUCUGCGGGCCCCGGGGAGACCUGCGUCAACUACACCUCCAUCAAGUUCACCAAGCAGCUGCGGCAUUUCGUCACACAUUACAUCAAUAGACGUCGGCAGCGGGUAGCGGCGGGGAGCGAGCGGGUGCGCGGGGGUGUGCAUUUGCCUCGACCUGAGCUCAUGAUGCAAGUCGAAUGGGAUCGAGAGUUAGCAGUGUUGGCGCAGCGGCUAGCCGAUCAAUGCAGCUUUAUACACGACGACUGCAGGGCGACAGUUCGUUAUCCGUACGCGGGCCAGAACGUGGGGGAGGUUAAAUGGCGGCGUUCGAGUGAGUCCGACCAACAGAACGCGGCGAGAGCUAUCCGACGUGUGUUCGACGCGUGGUGGGGCGAGCGCCGCCGGGUCACAGUGCGGCAGCUCGUACAACCUUUUAGGCUUACUAGCAGAGGCAGUGUAUGGGGCCACUUCAGUCAACUGGCGGUAUGGACGCUGCGCGCAGUCGGUUGUGGAGCUGUGAGACAUGGCUCCCGAUACCCUCGGAUCCUGCUGGUGUGCGACUUCUCGCACACCAACAUGCUAGGUCAACGGACCCUGACUCCAGGUCCUCUCGCCCCCUGUCCAAUCCACACCACACGCCGACCACAUUCUUCUUACCCCAUGCUUUGUGCUCAGGUGCGUCAUCCAGCAACAAAAGAACCAGCUCCCCACAACCCAAAAGACUACGAACCAUCUGACUACGACCCUUACUACCUUGGCGAAGAGGAGGACGAGGCAGAUGAAGACUAUUACGUCACUUAUGCAGUCAUAAACACCACCACAACCAUUUCUUCUACUACGGAACUCAAAGACACUACCUAUGAAAGACCACUCGAAACAGUCACAGUUAGAGAACAUUACGAAACAGAGAAAGAAGCAACAGUACCAAGGCAAACGACGCAAGAAAGGUUACCAGUCUAUUACGAAAAGGUUCCGUCGUUUGAGAGGAAGCCAUCAUUCGAAAGGGUCCAGAUGUACGAAAGAAAACCAGCUCUGGACAGGAUACCGACAGUUCUGAAGAUAACGACACGCGAAGGAAAGGAAUUGAAUGAAGGAUGGUCUAUUGAAACUGGGAUAAGUACAGUGCCCACGUCCCAGAGGUCUCGGUUCACUUUCGAUGUCGAAGACCUAGAAGAAGCUCUUGCCAAGCGGAAGUUUGAAAAGAUGGUGUAUAAAGCGUUGAGAAGUCGCUACACGACUGACGGGCGGUUCGUGAAGAAGCUGGAGAUGGAAAUGGUGAAAAACAAGCCGGACUCGCAGCACCCGCCCAGCUACCACCACCAGUCGCGUUGGAGGUCCACCGAGGCUCCAUACAGGCCCAUGUGGUCAAAGCCCGCAAUUGAGAUACCCGUGGAGAAGGAGCAUCACAUCAAUGCACUGAGGGAAGAGUACCUGAGGACGACAGCAAUGUCUACCAUGUUCUAUGAGCCUGUGAGACAUCGAUGGCGUCCGACCAAGGACCGACCAGACAGGUGAGGCCCGGGGCGAAAGCGCUCCUAACAUACACCGUCUCCUACACCCCUAGACAUAGGGCUGCCAAAAAAGAGGAAUAUGUCACGUUUCCUACAUUCAACAUGGACAAG
RNAcentral lists this unclassified non-coding RNA (1739 nucleotides) under Pectinophora gossypiella (pink bollworm). Its description in RNAcentral is "uncharacterized LOC126377050". The record is from RNAcentral. Lineage: Eukaryota; Metazoa; Arthropoda; Insecta; Lepidoptera; Gelechiidae.